UACGUAGGUGGCAAGCGUUGUCCGGAUUUACUGGGCGUAAAGAGCGCGCAGGCGGUCGUGCAAGUCGCGUGUGAAAGCCCCCGGCUCAACUGGGGAGGGUCACGCGAUACUGUUCGACUCGAAGGCAGGAGAGGGAAGUGGAAUUCCCGGUGUAGUGGUGAAAUGCGUAGAUAUCUGGAGGAACACCGGUGGCGAAGGCGGCAUCCUGGACCGGCAUUGACGCUGAGGCGCGAAAGCCAGGGGAGCAAACGGG
This 253-nucleotide ribosomal RNA is filed under the name uncultured bacterium. Its description in RNAcentral is "partial 16S ribosomal RNA". It matches the Rfam family "Bacterial small subunit ribosomal RNA", at positions 524 to 776 of the family's 1533-position model. The record is from RNAcentral.